AUUGAACGCUGGCGGCAGGCCUAACACAUGCAAGUCGGCCGGUAGCACAGGGGAGCUUGCUCCUCGGGUGACGAGUGGCGGACGGGUGAGUAAUGUCUGGGGAUCUGCCGGAUAGAGGGGGAUAACCACUGGAAACGGUGGCUACUACCGCAUAACGUCGCAAGACCAAACAGGGGGACCUUAGGGACUCUAACUAUCGGAUGAACCAAGAGUGGAUUAGCUAGUAGGCGGGGUAACGGUGCACCUAGGCGACGAUCCCUAGAUGGUCUGAGAGGAUGACCAGCCACACUGGAACUGAGACACGGUCCCGACCCCUACGGGAGGCAGCAGUUGGUAAUAGUGCAAAAUGGGCGCAAGCGUGAUGCAGCCAUGCCGCGUGUAUGAAGAAGGCCUUCGGGUUGUAAAGUACUUUCAGCGGGGAGGAAGGCGAUGUGGUUAAUAACCGCGUCGAUUGACGUUCCCCGCAGAAGAAGCACCGGCUAACUCCGUGCCAGCCGCCGCGGUAA
RNAcentral lists this ribosomal RNA (506 nucleotides) under uncultured bacterium. Its description in RNAcentral is "partial 16S ribosomal RNA". It matches the Rfam family "Bacterial small subunit ribosomal RNA", at positions 29 to 523 of the family's 1533-position model. The record is from RNAcentral.